This 266-nucleotide ribosomal RNA is filed under the name uncultured archaeon. RNAcentral's name for it is "partial 16S ribosomal RNA". It matches the Rfam family "Archaeal small subunit ribosomal RNA", at positions 715 to 982 of the family's 1478-position model. The record is from RNAcentral.
AGACGUCUACAUUAGACUACCCCCGUAGUCCCAGCCGUAAACUAUGCGCGUUAGGUGUAUCGGUGACCACGAGUCACCGAGGUGCCGAAGGGAAACCGUGAAACGUGCCGCCUGGGAAGUACGGUCGCAAGGCUAGAAACUUAAAGGAAUUGGCGGGGAGCACCACAACGGGUGGAGCCUGCGGUUUAAUUGGACUCAACGCCGGGAAGCUCACCGGAUAAGACAGCGGAAUGAUUGCCGGGCUGAAGACUCUGCAUGACUAGCUG